RNAcentral lists this ribosomal RNA (451 nucleotides) under uncultured bacterium. RNAcentral's name for it is "partial 16S ribosomal RNA". It matches the Rfam family "Bacterial small subunit ribosomal RNA", at positions 354 to 796 of the family's 1533-position model. The record is from RNAcentral.
GUGGGGAAUUUUGGACAAUGGGCGAAAGCCUGAUCCAGCCAUGCCGCGUGCAGGAUGAAGGCCUUCGGGUUGUAAACUGCUUUUGUACGGAACGAAAAGACUCUGGUUAAUACCUGGGGUCCAUGACGGUACCGUAAGAAUAAGCACCGGCUAACUACGUGCCAGCAGCCGCGGUAAUACGUAGGGUGCGAGCGUUAAUCGGAAUUACUGGGCGUAAAGCGUGCGCAGGCGGUGCUGUAAGACAGGCGUGAAAUCCCCGGGCUCAACCUGGGAAUUGCGCUUGUGACUGCAGUGCUGGAGUGCGGCAGAGGGGGAUGGAAUUCCGCGUGUAGCAGUGAAAUGCGUAGAUAUGCGGAGGAACACCGAUGGCGAAGGCAAUCCCCUGGGCCUGCACUGACGCUCAUGCACGAAAGCGUGGGGAGCAAACAGGAUUAGAAACCCCAGUAGGUCC